UUGGAAAACUGUCCGAAGAAAACUCUAAAU
Molecule: non-coding RNA, 30 nt
Filed under: Mus musculus (house mouse)
Lineage: Eukaryota; Metazoa; Chordata; Mammalia; Rodentia; Muridae
Source: RNAcentral